RNAcentral lists this ribosomal RNA (498 nucleotides) under uncultured bacterium. RNAcentral's name for it is "partial 16S ribosomal RNA". It matches the Rfam family "Bacterial small subunit ribosomal RNA", at positions 30 to 523 of the family's 1533-position model. The record is from RNAcentral.
AUUGAACGCUGGCGGCAUGCUUUACACAUGCAAGUCGAACGGUAACAGGUCGUCGGAUGCUGACGAGUGGCGAACGGGUGAGUAAUACAUCGGAACGUGCCCAGUCGUGGGGGAUAACUACUCGAAAGAGUGACUAAUACCGCAUGAGAUCUACGGAUGAAAGCAGGGGAUCGCAGGGCCUUGUGCUACUAGAGCGGCCGAUGGCAGAUUAGGUAGUUGGUGGGAUAAAAGCUUACCAAGCCGACGAUCUGUAGCUGGUCUGAGAGGACGAUCAGCCACACUGGGACUGAGACACGGCCCAGACUCCUACGGGAGGCAGCAGUGGGGAAUUUUGGACAAUGGGCGCAAGCCUGAUCCAGCAAUGCCGCGUGCAGGAUGAAGGCCUUCGGGUUGUAAACUGCUUUUGUACGGAACGAAAAGCCCUGGGUUAAUACCCUGGGGUCAUGACGGUACCGUAAGAAUAAGCACCGGCUAACUACGUGCCAGCCGCCGCAGUAA